This 90-nucleotide transfer RNA is filed under the name Pseudomonadota bacterium. Its description in RNAcentral is "Proteobacteria bacterium tRNA-Ser". It matches the Rfam family "tRNA". From Rfam's summary of the family: Transfer RNA (tRNA) molecules are approximately 80 nucleotides in length. Their secondary structure includes four short double-helical elements and three loops (D, anti-codon, and T loops). The record is from RNAcentral. Lineage: Bacteria; Pseudomonadati; Pseudomonadota. RNAcentral also lists the same sequence under 1 other name.
GGAGAGGUGGCAGAGCGGUUGAAUGCACCGGUCUUGAAAACCGGCAAGGGCUGACGCCCUUCGAGGGUUCGAAUCCCUCCCUCUCCGCCA